This 481-nucleotide ribosomal RNA is filed under the name uncultured bacterium. RNAcentral describes it as "partial 16S ribosomal RNA". It matches the Rfam family "Bacterial small subunit ribosomal RNA", at positions 28 to 523 of the family's 1533-position model. The record is from RNAcentral.
GACGAACGCUGGCGGCGUGCUUAACACAUGCAAGUCGAACGAUGAAGGAGAGCUUGCUCUCCGGAUUAGUGGCGAACGGGUGAGUAACACGUGACUAACCUGCCCCUUUCUCUGGGAUAACGCUCCGAAAGGAGAGCUAAUACCGGAUACGAACUCUGAACACAUGUUCGGAGUUGGAAAGUUUUUCGGAAAGGGAUGGAGUCGCGGCCUAUCAGCUUGUUGGUGAGGUAACGGCUCACCAAGGCGACGACGGGUAGCCGGCCUGGGAGGGCGACCGGCCACACUGGGACUGAGACACGGCCCAGACUCCUACGGGAGGCAGCAGUGGGGAAUAUUGCACAAUGGGCGAAAGCCUGAUGCAGCGACGCCGCGUGAGGGAUGAAGGUCUUCGGAUUGUAAACCUCUUUCAGUAGGGACGAAGCGAAAGUGACGGUACCUAAAGAAGAAGCACCGGCUAACUACGUGCCAGCCGCCGCGGUAA